GAAGGUGUAGCUUAGUGGUAGAGCGCUCGCUUCGCAUGUGAGAGGCCCCGGGUUCGAACCCCGGCACCUCCA
This 72-nucleotide transfer RNA is filed under the name Ixodes scapularis (black-legged tick). RNAcentral's name for it is "tRNA-Ala". It matches the Rfam family "tRNA". From Rfam's summary of the family: Transfer RNA (tRNA) molecules are approximately 80 nucleotides in length. Their secondary structure includes four short double-helical elements and three loops (D, anti-codon, and T loops). The record is from RNAcentral. Lineage: Eukaryota; Metazoa; Arthropoda; Arachnida; Ixodida; Ixodidae.